RNAcentral lists this ribosomal RNA (265 nucleotides) under uncultured archaeon. RNAcentral's name for it is "partial 16S ribosomal RNA". It matches the Rfam family "Archaeal small subunit ribosomal RNA", at positions 717 to 982 of the family's 1478-position model. The record is from RNAcentral.
AGACGUCUACAUUAGAUACCCGGGUAGUCCCAGCCGUAAACUAUGCGCGUUAGGUGUAUCGGUGACCGCGAGUUACCGAGGUGCCGAAGGGAAACCGUGAAACGUGCCGCCUGGGAAGUACGGUCGCAAGGCUGAAACUUAAAGGAAUUGGCGGGGGAGCACCACAACAGGUGGAGCCUGCGGUUUAAUUGGACUCAACGCCGGGAAGCUCACCGGAUAGGACAGCAGAAUGAUUGCCGGGCUGAAGACCCUGCAUGACUAGCUG